CAUUUAGCUGAAUCUUAUUUCUCACUUCUCACAGACAAACACUCUCAGGAAGACACUCAGGAAGACAGCAUCCGGUGAACACUCUCAGAGGCCAGUACGGCGAACACUCUCACUGGCGCCACCAGUGAAAUCCGGCGGUUCUUUGGUCUGAAUUGGGUAGUGAAUGGCAUUGCUUUCCAUCAUCUUUCUUUAUCCUUGGCUACGUUGGUGAAUUUUGUUGGUUAGGUGAUGGCUUCCAAGGCCUCCUUCCAUUCCCAUUCAAUUCUGUUUUGGGUGGUACUGCAGCUGCAUCACAUUAUUCCAAUAACAAAAGCAAGGCAUCUGAUGAGCAAUAUUUAAAUAUCCCACUCCCUUCUGAGACAAUUCAUUUAUUUUGCACACUUCACUCUCCAGGUUGUUGGUUUGACCUGAAUCUGGGCCGCUAAACAAGUUCAGUUUAGAAUGGAAGUUGCACCCUCAUCCAUGGUGCAUAUUGGAUUGGGCAUAUAUAUUAUGCUUUUUUAGGAUUGAUUUUGUGGUACAUUUAUUGACUGCUUUAAUUAUGUUGAAUUUCCUGAAAAUCAAGGCCUAAACAACACAUCUCAUUGCAUCCUGAUCAAUCUGAUCCAUCUUAUUUUAUUUUGGGUUAUGAUUUAGUGAGUUUUUGGCCAAGCUUGCUUUAGGUUAACUGAUCAUCUUGGAUUUGGCUAUGUUUUGACAGUUACAAAUUACUAUGUUGUCCACAUUCACUUGGCCCUAACCCAACCAAACCUUUUCAAGCUGUGCCUUUAAUUCUGAUUUUUCUUUUGUCUUAUAGGUCCUCUUAUGUGAAUGAUCUUCCCAUAUAUUCAAUUCUUAUUUAAUCCGAGGUUACAGCUCAGGGAUGUUGAUGCCAGUACUUUCCUCACUGAAUUACAACUAAACCGAACUUACCCUUCUUGUGGAAGUGACCUUUCAACAUGGAAGGUUGUUGCUGAAAUACCUUUCCUGGACAGGGCGCUUUCACUUCCUUUGUGCCGGUCAUUCUUCAUCCCACAUUCAUGGCAGCACAAAAAUGUAUUUGGCAUGUACAAACUACUGAGGAGAAUACCAAAGUGAUGUAGGAUUGACAAUAAAAUGCUACUAUGGAAGAACAGUUCUUAUCCAACUUUUCUGGUUUUGAUUGAGGAAUGUGGUUAAUGACCAUGAAGGUGAUCUAGCCCUACUUAAGUACAUUGAUUUGGCCAGCUUAAUCGUUGUAAACUAGCAUUUUUCUUACAUAGUGGCCAGUGUGUUUAAUCUUAAA
Long non-coding RNA from Nelumbo nucifera (sacred lotus), 1264 nucleotides. RefSeq lists it as uncharacterized. The record is from RefSeq and is a predicted model, not a curated record. NCBI's taxonomy places the organism in Eukaryota, Viridiplantae, Streptophyta, Magnoliopsida, Proteales, Nelumbonaceae.